Cavia aperea (Brazilian guinea pig) is the source of this 131-nucleotide small nucleolar RNA. The record is from Ensembl. Lineage: Eukaryota; Metazoa; Chordata; Mammalia; Rodentia; Caviidae.
GCCACUUGUAUAUGUUUUUGUCUUAAAUUGUGGGCUAAAAACUCAAUGAACAGGUGCAAAAAAUAAAUCCUCUUUUGCAACCCAGAACUCAAUGUUCGGUAUGAGUUUUGAUACACAAAAGAAGGAACAUU